This is a long non-coding RNA of Phasianus colchicus (ring-necked pheasant), 2093 nucleotides long. The record is from Ensembl. Lineage: Eukaryota; Metazoa; Chordata; Aves; Galliformes; Phasianidae.
UUCCGUAUAAAUAGCAGGGUACAGACAGCAAGAGCAUUGUGAUUGCUGCCUGAAUGACAGGCAAGCCGCUGAAUUAAGAGUGCCCUCAAGACUGCUUUCUGUUUUGAAGAACUGCUGCAGAGCAGUGAUGGGAUCUCUCCUGCUUCUCAUUUCUCUGCAGAUGGUGUGCAGAAACUUCCCCCUGGAACGCACCAUCGAUUUCUUGAUGGCCAUCAAGGAGACCUUCCGAAAGGCCAAAGGAAUGCGUGUGCGUGCUGCUGGGAAGUGGAUGAUCACCUUUUUGCAGAUGUACAGAAAGGACAUCCAUCGAGACGUAAGAGACUUUCUUCCACGUGUCUUGGAUUUUUUCUUGCUGUUGCUCUACGCCUUAUGUCGUUUGCCUCUUGUGCUAAAGAAACACAGUCUGAGCGCAGAGCCAGGGCUUGGACAGGGUCGCUGGUGUGAAAUUUAGUCUUAGGCCUUGGCAGCAUGUCAAGGGAGCAGGCACUGCUCAUGUGCUGAAUGUCCGUGGUUACUUCCUACAGAGUCAAGGAUGUGGCAAAUCGUUUUUUCUCCCCUUCUUCUUUCAGAUGCCACUGAUCCUCUAUGUCCUGCGGAGCUGCACAUCAUCCACACAGCAGAGCAUGUUCAUGCCCUUUGUGUGCCAGGCGGUGGUCAUCCUCACCCGCUGCCACACGGAGGUUGCGAUUGACAACUUCUCCCGGCUGCUUGGGCCCACAGACAGCAAUACAUGGAGGAGAAUCAGAGAAUUUUGUCUUCAGCGGUGGAGGUGGUAGAAGAAAGCGAAGCAAAGCAAAGCAAAGUCAAGAAAAGAAGGGAAGGGGAGGAAAAGGAAAAGGAAAAUAAAAAGGAAAAGGAAAAGGAAAAGGAGGGGAGGGGAUCUGAAGGGAGGGAAUCUGAUGGGAGGGGAGUGGAGUGGAGUGGAGUGGAUGGGAGGGGAAGGGAGGGGAGAGGAAGGGGAGGGAGGAGAAGUAGAGAAGGGGAGGGGAGGGGAGAAGGGAAAGAAAAAGAAGGAAAGAGGGAAGGAGAAGAGAGGAGAGGAAGAGGAAGUGGGAGAGGGAGGGUGAGAGGGAGAGAAGAGAGGAGAGGAUGAAAAAGGGAAGAAAAGAAAGAAAAGAGAAGAAAAAAGAAAAGAACAGAUGAGCUAAAAAAAAAUUAUUUUAAAAAAUUAAAUGCUUGAAUUGUGGCUAAGAAUUGAAAAGGGUAUUUUUUUUACUAAGUCUCUAAGUUCUCCAUAGCAGUUACAGAAUCACAGAAUCACCAAAUGUCAGGAAUUGGAAGCCCCUGCCUUAGCAGGAAGGCCUAGAUUAAGUCACACAGGAAUGCGUCCAGGCAGGUUUUGAAUGUCUCCAUAGAAGGAGACCCCACAACCUCUCUGAGCAGCCUGUUCCCAUGUUCCGUAGCCUUACCAUGAAGACAUUUUUUGUCAUAUUUUUGUGGAACUUCCUAUGUUCGUUUUCACCCAAUGUUCCUUGUCCUAUCACUGGGUGUCACUGUGAGAAGAGCCUGGCUCCAUCCUACUGGCACACACCCUUUUCAUAUUUGUUAACAUUAUUAAUGAGAUCACCUCUUAGUCUCCUCUUCUCCAAGCUAAAGAGACCCAGCUCCCUCAGCCUUUUCUCUUAAGGGAGAUGCUCCAAUCCCUUCAUCAUCUUUGUGGCUAUGUGCUGGCCUCUCUCAAGCAAUUCCCUGUCCUUCUUGAAUGGAGGGGCCCAGAACGGGACACAGUACUCCAGAUGUGGUCUCACCAGGGCGGAGUAGAGGGGGAGGAGAAGCUCUUUUGACCUACUAACCACAUCCCUUCUAGUAUGUCCCCGGAUGCCAUUGGCCUUCUUGGCCACAAGGGCACAAUGCUGGCUUAUGGUCACCCUGCUGUCCAACAGGACCCCCAGGUCCCUUUCCUCUAUGCUGUUUUUCCCCAACCUAUACUGGUACCUGGGGCUGUUCUUGUCCAGAUACAAGUCUCUAUGCUUGCCCUUGUUAUAUUUCAUUAAAUUUCUCCCCGCCCAAUUCUGCAGUCUGUCUAGGUCUCGCUGGGUGGCAGCUCAGCCUUCUAGCAUAUCAGCCACUCCUCCCAGUUUUGUGUCAUCAGC